UUCCGGUUGAUCCUGCCGGAGGUCAUUGCUAUUGGAGUCCGAUUUAGCCAUGCUAGUUGCACGAGUUUAGACUCGUAGCAGAUAGCUCAGUAACACGUGGCCAAACUGCCCUAUAGACGGCGAUAACCUCGGGAAACUGAGGCUAAUAGCCGAUACCGUUCACCACCUGGAGUGGUGUGAACGCGAAACGUUCAGGCGCUAUAGGAUGUGGCUGCGGCCGAUUAGGUAGACGGUGGGGUAACGGCCCACCGUGCCCAUAAUCGGUACGGGUUGUGAGAGCAAGAGCCCGGAGACGGUAUCUGAGACAAGAUACCGGGCCCUACGGGGCGCAGCAGGCGCGAAACCUUUACACUGCACGCGAGUGCGAUAAGGGGACUCCGAGUGCGAGGGCAUAUAGUCCUCGCUUUUCACCACCGUAAGGUGGUGGUGGAAUAAGUGCUGGGCAAGACCGGUGCCAGCCGCCGCGGUAAUACCGGCAGCACGAGUGAUGACCGCUAUUAUUGGGCCUAAAGCGUCCGUAGCUGGCCACGCAAGUCUAUCGGGAAAUCUGCGCGCUUAACGCGCAGGCGUCCGGUGGAAACUGCAUGGCUUGGGACCGGAAGACCAGAGGGGUACGUCCGGGGUAGGAGUGAAAUCCCGUAAUCCUGGACGGACCACCGGUGGCGAAAGCGCCUCUGGAAGACGGAUCCGACGGUGAGGGACGAAAGCUCGGGUCACGAACCGGAUUAGAUACCCGGGUAGUCCGAGCUGUAAACGAUGUCUGCUAGGUGUGGCACAGGCUACGAGCCUGUGCUGUGCCGUAGGGAAGCCGAGAAGCAGACCGCCUGGGAAGUACGUCCGCAAGGAUGAAACUUAAAGGAAUUGGCGGGGGAGCACUACAACCGGAGGAGCCUGCGGUUUAAUUGGAUUCAACGCCGG
RNAcentral lists this ribosomal RNA (918 nucleotides) under uncultured archaeon. RNAcentral's name for it is "bacterial SSU rRNA". It matches the Rfam family "Archaeal small subunit ribosomal RNA", at positions 1 to 921 of the family's 1478-position model. The record is from RNAcentral.